RNAcentral lists this ribosomal RNA (457 nucleotides) under uncultured bacterium. RNAcentral describes it as "bacterial SSU rRNA". It matches the Rfam family "Bacterial small subunit ribosomal RNA", at positions 340 to 786 of the family's 1533-position model. The record is from RNAcentral.
UACGGGAGGCAGCAGUGGGGAAUAUUGGACAAUGGGCGAAAGCCUGAUCCAGCCAUGCCGCGUGUGUGAAGAAGGUCUUCGGAUUGUAAAGCACUUUAAGUUGGGAGGAAGGGCAUUAACCUAAUACGUUAGUGUUUUGACGUUACCGACAGAAUAAGCACCGGCUAACUUCGUGCCAGCAGCCGCGGUAAUACGAAGGGUGCAAGCGUUAAUCGGAAUUACUGGGCGUAAAGCGCGCGUAGGUGGUUUUGUUAAGUUGAAUGUGAAAGCCCCGGGCUCAACCUGGGAACUGCAUCCAAAACUGGCAAGCUAGAGUAUGGCAGAGGGUGGUGGAAUUUUCCUGUGUAGCGGUGAAAUGCGUAGAUAUAGGAAGGAACACCAGUGGCGAAGGCGACCACCUGGGCUAAUACUGACACUGAGGUGCGAAAGCGUGGGGAGCAAACAGGGAUUAGAUACC